RNAcentral lists this ribosomal RNA (245 nucleotides) under uncultured bacterium. Its description in RNAcentral is "partial 16S ribosomal RNA". It matches the Rfam family "Bacterial small subunit ribosomal RNA", at positions 524 to 768 of the family's 1533-position model. The record is from RNAcentral.
UACGUAGGGGGCGAGCGUUGUCCGAAGUUACUGGGCGUAAAGCGCGCGUAGGCGGCUUGUUAAGUGGCCGGUGAAAUCCCCAGGCUCAACCUGGGGUAGUCUGGUCAUACUGGCAGGCUGGAGUGCGGGAGAGGAGAGCGGAACUCCUGGUGUAGCGGUGAUAUGCGUAGAGAUCAGGAAGAACACCCGUGGCGAAGGCGGCUCUCUGGACCGCAACUGACGCUGAGGCGCGAAAGCCAGGGGAG